UACAAAUAAAAUAAACUGGACCAAUUCCUACUUGGAAUCGUUUUUAAAAUUACAAUCCCAGUGGAAUUGUUUGGAGGAUUUGGUUUCAGAUUUAAUGUGCACUAGUUUUGGUUUCAGCCAGGGGCUUGUUGUGUUGCCAUGGAGUACAGUAAGCAGCGCUCUAGUGUGGUUUUAUUUUGAAUUGAAAAAGCCCUGUACACUGCAACCCACCAUUGAAUCAAAAUAAAACCUUAUUUGUGAAAUAAGAAUGUGACCCAUUUCAACUCCACCCCUCAAAGAAUCUGAAUCAAGAAGCUAUUAGAACCGGACUCGAAAGGAAGGAUCAGAAUUGGAAUCGGAAUCAUUAAAAUCCAAAUGAUCCCCAACCCUACAUAUGACUGUAAAAUAAACAUCUUUGAGUUUUGGACUUUUGGUCAAACAAAACAAGAAAUCUGAGGAUGGGACGUGGGCUUUGGAAAGAGAUUUGUAUUUGUUUCACCACUUUUCUUUUUUAUAUUCAUAGACUAAAAAAAUAUUGGAAUUGACAAUUAAAAAAGACCGCUGCCGCUCUCAAUAUAUUAAAUUGUUUAUUGACAUUAAAAUAGAAAGCAAUGUGACUCAUGAACAUGAGGUCAGAAGAGAAAUUAAUUUUUCAAGAAAAUCCAACAUUGCAGUUGCUCUGGUUAUAUAUUUUGCUAAAGGUAUUGUAGUAAAAAGAGAGAGUUUGACAGUAUUAAAGGUUAUUUGUGAGUAAAGGGAACUGAUUGCAGCAGUUAGACCUGCACUGAUAGUAAAGCAUUGUGAAAGGCUCUUUGUGUGGCACGGCAGGCUUAAAGCAUUAGAUGGUGGGAACUGGAAGACAAGGACAUAUGGGACUAAGAGUUUUGUGACCCCCUCAGCCUCCUCAUGCCCAUCUGUUGCUUGUCCCUUCAGGCUUAACACUGAAGGCAGAAAGGUUUUCAGG
Etheostoma cragini (Arkansas darter) is the source of this 943-nucleotide long non-coding RNA. RefSeq lists it as uncharacterized. The transcript has 3 exons. Lineage: Eukaryota; Metazoa; Chordata; Actinopteri; Perciformes; Percidae. The record is from RefSeq and is a predicted model, not a curated record.